This 245-nucleotide ribosomal RNA is filed under the name uncultured bacterium. RNAcentral describes it as "partial 16S ribosomal RNA". It matches the Rfam family "Bacterial small subunit ribosomal RNA", at positions 15 to 252 of the family's 1533-position model. The record is from RNAcentral.
GAUCAUUGCUCAGGAUGAACGCUAGCUACAGGCUUAACACAUGCAAAUCGAGGGGCAUCAGGAAGAAAGCUUGCUUUCUUUGCUGGCGACCGGCGCACGGGUGAGCAACACGUAUCCAACCUGCCCUUUACUCGGGGAUAGCCUUUCGAAAGAAAGAUUAAUACCCGAUGGCAUAAUGAUUCCGCAUGGUUUCAUUAUUAAAGGAUUCCGGUAAAGGAUGGGGAUGCGUUCCAUUAGGUUGUUGG